Molecule: long non-coding RNA, 485 nt
Organism: Pipra filicauda (Wire-tailed manakin)
Lineage: Eukaryota; Metazoa; Chordata; Aves; Passeriformes; Pipridae
Exons: 4
Source: RefSeq, a predicted model, not a curated record
CUCCAAAACUUUUCACGCCCUAAGUUAAUAAAACUUCUCCACUGAAAGGGAUGGAUGUGACACUGUGCUGAGGAUUUCAUGGCCGAGCGCUGGAUUAUUGCUGUGGUGUAAAGGGCUCCCCAGCCUUGGGCUGUGCUGAGCAGACAAAGUAAGGCUGAAAGGACACAGCAGGGAUCCAGCAGUGGUGGCACUGGCUGCAGGAGUCAGCGCUUGAGGGUUCACCAACAACUCUCAUGGCCUGGUCCAUGGAAACAGGACAGGGAUAUAUGCCUGGAUACCAGCACCUGCACCCUGAGGGAAUUGUGAUCAGCAAACCAUCAGCAGAGGAGGAUGCAAUGAAUUGAAUGCACUGAUGACUUCCCCCUACCACCCCCCCACCCCCCGUUAAAGUUACAAUCAAACACAGUUUUCCGUAGAACAGUAAAGCACCCGGCAGAGGUAAGUGAGGUAUUGGCUGUGCAGCAUUUUCGGCCUUCUCCCACCUG